RNAcentral lists this ribosomal RNA (253 nucleotides) under uncultured bacterium. Its description in RNAcentral is "partial 16S ribosomal RNA". It matches the Rfam family "Bacterial small subunit ribosomal RNA", at positions 524 to 776 of the family's 1533-position model. The record is from RNAcentral.
UACAGAGGGCUCAAGCGUUGUUCGGAUUCAUUGGGCGUAAAGGGUGCGUAGGUGGCGCGGUAAGUCUGGUGUGAAAUCUCGGGGCUCAACCCCGAAACUGCACUGGAUACUGCCUUGCUCGAGUACUGGAGAGGAGAUUGGAAUUUACGGUGUAGCAGUGAAAUGCGUAGAUAUCGUAAGGAAGACCAGUGGCGAAGGCGAAUCUCUGGACAGUUACUGACACUGAGGCGCGAAAGCGUGGGGAGCAAACAGG